This 11034-nucleotide long non-coding RNA is filed under the name Homo sapiens (human). RNAcentral describes it as "HSALNT0317803". Lineage: Eukaryota; Metazoa; Chordata; Mammalia; Primates; Hominidae. The record is from RNAcentral.
CUCUUCUCUUGUCUGCCGCCAUGUGAUAUGUGCACUUCACCUUCUGCCAUGAUUGUGAGGUCUCCCCAGCCACGUGAAACUGUGAGUCCAUUAAACCUCUUUUUCCUUAUAAAUUACCCAGUCUUGCAUAUGUCUUUAUCAGCAGCAUGAAAAUGGACUAAUACAGGUUGCUUUCAUGUUUUAGCUAUUGUGAAUAAUGCUGCCAUGAACAUGUGCAUACAAAUAUCUCUUUGAGAGCCUGCUUUCAAUUAUUUGGGGUAUAUGUGCAGAAAUCUAGUUGCUGGGUAACUCUAUUUUUAAUUUUUUGGGGAAGCACCAUACUGUUUUCCAUCGUGGAUGUACCAUUUCACAUUCCCAGCAACAGUGCAGAAGGGUUCCAGUUUCUCCACAUCCUCGCCAACACUAGUUAUUUUCUGGAUUUUUUGUGUGUUUUUUUGUUUGCUUGUUUGUUUUAUUAAUAUAGUAACCAACCUAAUGGUGUUAGGUGGUAUAUCAUUGCAGUUUUGUUUGGUUUUUGUUUUGUUUUUUGUUUUUGAGACAGGGUCUCACUCUGUUUCCCAUGCUGGAGUAUAAGUGGUGCAAUCAUAGCUUACUGCAGACUUGACCUCCUGGGCUCCAGUGAUCCUCCUACUCAGUCUCCUGAGUAGCUGGAAAUACAGGCAUACACCACCAUGCCUGGCUAAUUUUAAAUUUUAUUUUAUUUUAUUUUAUUUUUAGAGAAGUGGUGUGGGGGGGUCUCACUAUGUUGCUCAGGUUGGUCUUGAACUGGGCUCAAGCAAUCCCUUAGCCUCGCCAAGUGCUGGGAUUACAGGUGUGAGCCACUGUUCCCCAGCCUUAUUGUAGUUUAGAUAUGCAUUUGCCUAAUGAAUGGUGACGUCAAGCAUUUUUAUAUACAUAUUGCCCAUUUGAGUACUUAUUUAGAGAAAUGUCUAUUCAAGUCAUGUGUCUAUUUUUGAAUCAGCUUUUUGUUUCAUUGUAGAGUUUUAGGAGUUUUCUACAUAUUAAGGAUACUAAUUCCUGAUCACAUACACAACUUGCAACUAUUUUCUCCCAUCUAGUGAGUUGCCUCUUUACUCUGUUGACAUUGUUUUUUGCCUGUGCUUUUGUUGUCAUAUCCAAGAAAUUAUUGCCAAAUCCAAAGUUGUAUAGCUUUGUCUUAUUAUUAUUUUUUAGAGUUUUACAGUUUUAGAUUGUACAUUUAGGUUUUUGUAGUUUGUAUAUGGUGUGAGGCAAAAGGUCCAGCUUUAUUCUUCUGCAAAUUAAUGUCCUGUUUUCCCAACACCGCUUGUCAAAAAGACUAUUAUUUUCCCCACUGGACGGUCUCAGCACCUUGUCAAAGAUUAUUUGACCAUAUAUGUGAAGGUUUAUUUCUGAACUCUGUGUUCUAUUUCAUUGACCUAUGUGUCUGUCUCUAUGCCAGUGUGGUACUGGCAUAAAGAUAGACAUGUAGGUCCAGGGUACCACACUGGUAUGACGACAGACUGUAGAUUACUGUAUUCUUGAUCACUGUAGCUUUAUAGUGAGUUUACCAGAUUAUGAAAUUAUUGAUUACUAUAGCUUUGUAGUAAGUAUUGAAAUCAGGAAGUGUGAGUCCUCUAACUUUCUUCUUUUCUUUCAACAUUGCUUUUGCUAUUUGGGAUCCCUUGAGAUUCUAUAUGAGUUUUAGGAUGGGUUUUUCCAUUUCUGAGAAAAAAAGGCUUUGUGGUUUUGAUGGGGUAGAAUUAAAUCUGUAGAUUACUUUGAGUACUAUUGACAUCUUCCAAUCCAUGAACAUGGGAUGUCUUCUUUAUUUAUUUAUGUCUUCUUUAAUUUCUUACCGCAAUUUUUUUGUAGUUGUCAGUACAGAAGUCUUUAACCUCCUCAGUUAAGCUGAUUCCUAAAUAUUUUAUUUUAUUCUUUUUGCUGCUACUGUAAGUAGAAUUGUUUUCAUAAUUUGCUUUUUGGACUGUUCAUUGUUAGUUAGCAUGAACAAUGUAUUGAUUUUUUAUCCUGCUACUUAGCUGAAUUCAUUUAUUAGUUCAUUUAUUUUUCAUGCCUAAUUGUUCUGGCUAGCACUUUUAGUACUAUGCUGAAUAGCAGUGGGGAAACAGGCACCCUUCCUGUGGGUUUUUCGUAUAUGGCUUUUAUUAUGUAAUGUUGAGGCAGUUUCCUUUUAUUCCUAGUUUGUUAAGUGUUUUUCUUUAAAUCAUAAAAUGUGUUGAAUUUUGUCAAAUGCUGCCACUGCAUCAAUUCAGAUGGUUAUGUGGGAGAUUUUCCCCUUCUGGAAAUGUUGUGUAUUGCACUGAUCCAUUUUCAGUUGAGCCGUCUUAGUACUCCAAGAAUAAGUCACACUUGGUCAUAGUGUGUAAUCCUUUUUUUAAUAUGCUGCUGAAUUAGGUUUGCUAGUAUUUUGUUGAGAAUUUUCACAUCUAUAUUCAUCAGGGAUGUUAGUUCUGUAGUUGUUUUGUUUUGUUUGAGACAGGGUCUUGCUCUGUUGCCCAGGCUGGAGUGCAGUAAUGCAAUCUUGGCUUACUGCAGCCUAUACCUCCUGGCUCAAGCCAUUCUCCUACCUCAGUUUCCUGAGUAGCUGGGACUACAGGCACAUGCCACCAUGCCCAGCUAAUUUUUGUAUUUUAUGUAAAGAUGGGGCUUCCCCAUGUUUCCCAGGCUGUUCUUGAACUCCUGAGCUUCCACCUCAGCCUCCCACAGUGCUGGGGCUGCAGGCAUGAGCCACUGUGUCUGGCCCUGGUCUGUAGUUUUCUUUCUUUAAAUUUUUUUUUUUUUUUUUUUUUAGAGACAGGGUCUUGCUCUGCUGCCUAGGCUGGAGUGCAGUGGUGCGAUCAUGGCUCAUUGCAGCCUGGAACUCCCGGGCUCAAGUGAUCUUCCCACCUUAGCCUCCCAAGUAGCUAGGACUACAGGCAUGCACCACCACACCAGCCUAUUUUAUUCUUUUGUAGAGAUGGGGUCUCAAUAUGUUGCCCAGGCUGGUCUUGAACUCCUGGUUUCAAGUGAUCCUCCUGCCUCAGCCUCCCAAAGUACUUGGAUUACAGGUGUGAUUUGCCACACUUAGCCCAGUUUUCUUUUCUCAUAGUGUCUUCGUCUGGCUUUGGCAUCAGGAUAAUGUUGGCCUCAUAGAAUAGUUAGGAAGUAGUCCUUCGCCUUCAGUUUUUCUGAAGCGUUUGAGAAGAAUCGGUAUUCUUCAUCCAAUAUUUGGGAGAAUUUGCCAGUGAAGCCAUCAAGUCCAGGGCUUUUCUUUGUCAGAUUUUUCAUUACUGAUUCAAUCUCCACAUUAGUUAUAAUUCUGUUAAGACUUUCUAUUUAUUCCUGAUUUGUUUCUCAGUAGAUUUUGUGUCUCUAGGAAUUUGUUUAUUUCAUCCAUGUUAUCCAAUGUGUUGGCAUACAAUUGUUCAUAGUACUCUCUUACAAUUUUUUUUUAUUUCUAUAGAGUCAGUAGUAAUGUGCCCACUUUCAUUUCUGAUUUAGUAACUGGAGUUUUCCCUCUAUUUUCUUAGUCCAUCUAGUGAAAGGCUUGUUAAUUUUGUUGAUCUUUCAAAGAACUAACUUUUGGUUUUACUGGUUUUUCUCUAUUGUUUUUCAAUUCUUUAUUUCAUUUAUCUCUUCUCUAACCUUCAGUAUUUCUUUUCUUCUGCUAGCUUUGGGUUUAGUUUAUUCUUCUUUUUCUAGCUCCUUAAGUUGUAAAGUUAGGUUGCGGGUUUGAGAUCUUGCUAGUUUUUUAGUGUAAGCAUUUAUAACUAUGAACUUCCCCUGUGGCACUGCUUUUGCAGCAUCCUGUAAGUGCUGGUCUGCUGCGUUUUCGUUUUCAUUCUAAGUAUUUUCUUUUUCCCUUGUGAUUUCUUCUCUGGACUGUUGGUUGUUUAAGAGUGUGUUGUUUAACUUCCAGAAAUUUGUGGAUUUUUCAGUUUUACUUCUGUUAUUGAUUUCUAACGUUAUCCUAUUGUGGUUGGAGAAGAGUUUGUAUGAUACCUACAUUUUAAAAUUGAUUGAGACCUAAUUUGUGGCCUAACAGAUGGUGUAUCCUGGAAAAUGACUCAUGCUUAUUUGAGAAGGAUGUAUAUGCUGCUAUUGUUCUUGGUAGAAUGUCUGGAUGUGUGUUAGAUCUAGUUGGUUUAUUGUGUUGCUGCCCGCCGCUGCCCUACACUCCUCUCACCCAACUACGCAUCCAACUCUGCUGAACAGUGAGCUAACACAGCACAGACUGCCCGCCCUACAUGCCUCUUACCCAACUACGUGUCCAACUCUGCUGAAACCCGAGCUAACACAGCACAGGCUGCCCGCCGCUGCCCUACACGCCUCUCACCCAGCUAGACUCGCAUCCAACUCUGCUGAACCACCAGCUAACACAGCACAGGCUGCCCGCCGCUGCCCUACACGCCUCUCACCCAGCUAGACUCACUGUCCAACUCUGCUGAACCACCAGCUAACACAGCACAGACUGCUCGCCGCUGCCCUACGCGCUUCUCACCCGGCUAGACUCGUGUCAAACUCCAAGCAGACUGGUGAGACAGCGCUGCUACAAUACAGGGUACAGGAGCCAAGGGGACGGCGCACAGGGACUUCUGUGUAACCAUUUGUGGCCUGGGACCCCAGAGCUAGUGUCUGGCAAUGUUUGGGUUUAGACCUAGGGGUGAUGGCUCCAGUCCUGCCCACUUUGCCCCAUCCUCUGGGUCCCGAGCCUACCCUGGGCCUUUGGACUCCUGCCAGGCCUUGCGGCAGGUGCAUCACACUGUUGGGUUCCUAAGUGCCACAGGCCUGGGAUCAGCAGACAUGAGGAACACCAACGGUGUCCCUGGAAAGCAAUCCCCGGGGCUGGGUGAGGCAGGAGGAGUGUAGCAGGUGGGGAAGCUGGAUAGAGGUGGCCAGGAUGGGAGCUGUGCUCUGUGGGCCAUGAGAAGGGUGGAAGGACUUGGGGGCAGGGAGAGAUUUUGGGUUUGUCUUCAUAAGGGUCACUCUGGCUGCUCUCAGGGGGAUUGAAGGAGCAAGGCAGGGAGACACAGUGGCGUUCAUGGUCAUGGGGGAAGGGCUGCUUUCCAGCGGUAGGGCUGAGAAACGGUGAGGAAGAAGCCUGGGGUGGCGGGUGGCUUGCACUGACUCUGGGCUGCGGUCCUACCUAAGCUCCAGGGAGGACGGGGUUUCUGAGGAGACCUGGGGAACAGGACACAUCCAUGGAACCCCCCGGUGGAGGUGGAUGGCCGAUGAGCCUGGGGCCCAGAGGCAGCACUUGAAGUCACAGGAGCUAAGAGCAACAGUGGGUAAGGCAAGGAGAGGGGUCAGAGAAGCGUGGCCUGGGUCAGAGCGUGCCUUCCAGGGAGGUGAGUGAACCUAAGGGGAACCUGGCAGGAGGAGGGAUGAGUAGGGUCUGCAGUAGAGACAAUGGGGCUGGCAGGGCAGAGUUCGGGCAACGCGGACCUGCCUGGGGAGAAGCGGCUUGGAGCCGAUGUGGACGGGUGCACAUCCAGUGAACCACAGUGUCAGGGCGUGAUCCCCGGGGUGGGGAACGUGAGGACCAGGAGGAGGGGCUGUUUGAGCAGGGAAUUGGGUGCAGGGACCUUGGGCGCAGGUCUGAGGAGGGGGAUAUGGGCGACCCCUUCCUCUUCUCACACCAGGACGCCGGGGUGUCGCUCGUGGAGGAUGGGGGAUGGGAUCGUUUCUUCAUCCGUGCAUCUUUUCAGGGAUGUUUCCGUUGUUUCCGGAUGUUUUCGUUUUUUGUUAUUUCAAAGAAAUCUGCAAACAUUUGCACGUAGGUUUUUAUGUGAAUGUAAGUUUUUGAUUCUCUGGAACAAGUGUCCAGCUGUGUGAUUGCUGGGUUGUGAAGUAAGCGUAUGUUUCACUUUUUAAGGACCCGUCAGACUGUCUCGCCAGCGUGGCUGGACCAGCUCACCUUCUCACCAGUGAUAUGUGAGAGCUCUGCGUUCUUGCCAACGUUUGGUGUUGUCACUAUUUUUAAUGUUAUCCGUUUUAGCUGUUCUAAUAGGUAGGUAGUGAUCUCUCUCAUUCGGGCUUUCCUUUGCAUUUCCCGCGUGACUAGCACCGUUGGAUGUCUUUUCAUGCGCUUAUUUGCCAUCUGUAUCCAGCUGUCUCUCAGUAUCCAUGCGGAUUGGCUUCAGGGCGCUCCUCAGAUACCAAAAUCCCCGGAUGCUCAAGUCCGUGAUGUAAAAUGGCACAGCAUUUGCACAUAACAAAGUAUUCGCCCGUGUACUUUAAACCACCUUAGAUUAUUUAUAAUACUGAAUGCAAUGUAAAUGCGAUGUAAACAGUUGUUAUGCUGUAUUGUUUAGAGAAUAAUAACAAGAAAAGAGUCUAUACAUGUUCAAAACAAACACAAUUUUUUUUUUCAAAUAUUUUGGAUCCGUGGUUGGUAGAAUCCACAGAUGCAGAGCCCGUGGAUACCGAGCGACGACUGUAUUCUCUUUGGUAAAAUUCUUCUUGUCUUUUGCCCAUUUACUAUUUGGGUGGUGUGGUUUUUUUGCUGUUGAGUUUGUUUUGAGUAUAUAUAUUCUAGAUAUAAGUCCUUUAUCAGAUGUGUGGUUUGCAGAUAUGCUCUCCUAACAUGAAACUUGUUUUUUCAUCCUCCUACCAGGAUUUGUACAGAGCAAAUGUUUUUAACUUUGCUAAAGUCCAAUUUACCAAACAUUUUAUUUUAUAGGUUGUACUUUCAGGGUCAUGUCUAAUAUCUCUCAGCCAAACCCUAAGUCCUAAAGAUUUUCUCCUAUGUCUCCUUCUAAAAGUUUUAUAAUUUUACAUUUAAACCUAUACGAUGAUCAGUUUGAGCUAAUUUUUGUUGAAGAAGUGAUGUUUAAAUCAAGGUGUUUUUGCUUUUUGUUUGGGUGUUUUUGUUUGUUUGUUUGUUUUUUGCAUACAGGUGUCCAAUUGCGCCAGGACCAUUUGCUGAAAAGACUAUCCUCUCCAUUAGAUUAAGUUUUCACCUUUGUCAAAACCCAGUUAGUUGUACUAGCAUGGGUCGACUUCUGGGCACUCUAUUCUGUAACAUUGAUCAAUGUGCCUUUUCCUCCAUGAAUACCACAUAACCUUCAUUACUAUGGUUAUAUAUAGAGUAAGUCUUGAAAUGGGACAUACUGAUUUCUCCCAUUUUAUUCUUAUUUAUUUACCUAUUUAUUUAUUUAUUUUUUUUAGGCAGAGUCUCACUCUGUCACCAGGCUGGAGUACUGUGGCGCGAUCUCAGCUCACUACAACCUCCGCCUCCCAGAUUCAAACAAUUCUCCUGCCUCAGCCUCCUGAGUAGCUGAGAUUACAGGCGUGCACCACCACGCCCAGCUAAUUUUUUGUAUUUUUAGUAGAGACGGGAUUUCACCAUGUUGGCCAGGAUGGUCUCAAUCUCUUGACCUUGUGAUCUGCCCACCUCGGCCUCUCAAAGUGCUGGGAUUACAGGCAUGAGCCACCACACCCAGCCUCUUAUUUUUAUUUUUUAGAGACAAGGUCUUGCUCUGCCACCCAGGCUGGAGUGCAGUGGCACGAUCAUAGCUCACCACAGCCUCAAACUCCUGGGCUUAAGUGAUCCUCCCAUCUCAGCCUCCCAACUACCUAGGACUACAGGCGUGGACCACCAUGCCUGCCUAAUUUUUUAAAAUUUAUUUUUGUAGAGACAGACUGUCACUAUGUUGCCUAGGCUGGUCUGAAACUACUGGCCUUAAGCAAUCCUCUCACCUUGGCCUCCCAAAGUGCUGGGAUUACAGGCAUGAACCAUUGGACUUGGCCCAUUUUAUUCUUUUUCAAAUUGUUUUAGCUAUCCUGGUUCCUUUGCGUUUCCAUACAAACUUUAGAAUGAGCUUAUCUGUGGGUUUUUUUUCUUUUUUUUUGAGGUAAAGUUUCACUCUUGUUGCCCAGGCUGGAGCACAAUGGCACGAUCUCGGCUCACUGCAACCUCCGCCUCCUGAGUUCAAGCGAUUCUCCUACCUCAGCCUCCCAAGUAGCUGGGACUACAGGCACGCACCACCACACAUGGCUAAGUUUUGUAUUUUUAGUAGAGACGGGGUUUCACCAUGUUGGCCAGGCUGGUCUUGAACUCCUGACCUCAAGUGAUCUGUCUGCCUUGGCCUCCCAAAGUGCUGGGAUUACAGGCAUGAGCCACCACGCCCAGCCAACCCUCCCACUUCUAUUAAAUAAAAUGUCUGGGGAGCUGAAUUUGGGCUGAGCUCCUGCACUAGACCCCAACAGACCAAACUAAAACGUGCUACGUGGCACAUAAUCAAACUGGAACUUUAAAAAGAACCACAGGAGGCCAGGCAUGGUGGCUCACACCUGUAAUCCCAGCACUUUGAGAGGCCAAAGCAGGAGGAUCACUUGAGCUCAAGACCAGCCUGGACAACACAGUGAGAUCUCAUCUCUACAAAAAAUCAAAAAAUUAGCUGAGGGUGGUGGCACACGCCUGUGGUCCCUGCUACUCAGGAGGCUGGAGUGGGAGGAUCCAUUGAGCCCAGGAGAUGGAGGCUGCCGUGAGCCAUGACUGAGCCAUUGCCCUGAAGCCUGCGUGACAGAGCAACAACCUGUCUCAAACAAACAAACAAACAAAAAACACCACGAGAAAUCCCCAAAUGGGCCAGUUUUCCAAAAACCAGAAGAUUCAUGGCAACCAAUCAAAAGGGGCCCAGUCAACCCAAGCCGGCAUAAUCAGGAAGUCAAUCCAUACAAGGAAAAUAGCCUCAGGAGAGCCGGGCUGCUUGUGCUGUGAUGGUCCUUGCUACUGAAGCUGCCUUGUCAUGGCUGGUCAGCUGCCAUGCCCAAAGGAGCUCCUGUCUGUUUUGCAGGCUGGGUGCUGCCCAGUUCAUGAAUUACUAAUAAAAGACAAUUAAGCUGGGUGUGUGGUGCACACCUGUAGUCCCAGCUACUCAGGAGGCUGAGGUGGGAGGAUCGCUUAAGCCCAGAGCCCUGGCAACCUAGCAAGACUCCAUCUCAAAACUCAAUUUGCUGAAAUUUUGUUCUUUGAUGGUUUCUAUCCUUAAAACAGAACCAGCUGGAACCCUCUGGAAAGUUCCAGAACCACCAGCAUCAGGGUGGCCAAGACGUGGGCACUGCCAGACAGGGGACCAUGUGGGGCCAGAAGAAAUUAUAGGACAUAGCAGGUCUCAGACAUGACCAGAGACUGCUGCCAGUGGUGGAAGGCUUCCCUGAGCGUGAUGACCUGGCCACUCCACAGGAAGCCUCCACACCCAAGGUUAAAGGUGUCCAGCUGCGGCCAGGGUUCCGGGGUACCUGUGGAUCCCGUGACGUGGCACCGAAGAUCUGAGCUGUGCAGAGGAGCUGCACCACAGAGGCCAGGUUUCCGUGUGGAGAACGCGCAUAAUGGGAGGCCUUGAGCUGAGACCCAGCCCCCGACCCCCACCCCCACCCACCAGCAGGGGAUUCUCCUCAGGGCCUCACAGAGCACCACGUGGUGUCAUUGCUGGUCCUGCCAUAGCUCCCAGGACCAAUGCUUCCCAGAACUCCCUGCUACAUAAAUACAUCCGGUCCCUUUCCCUCGAGAUCUUGAAAAGUGAAGACUUCACUUGGCAGUAACGGUAAAACAUUUCAACAUGGUAAGUUGUCAUUUUAUGCACACAUGGAAUGGUGGCCCAUAAAGGGCCUGGGGGUCCAAUAUCCUACAUACUGGACUCCUCAUUAGUCCUCUGAGUCUUCUGUUCCCCAACACACUGCAUUGGGAUCAAACUGAAUUUGCAGCCAGGCAUCAUAGCUCAUGCCUGUAAUUCCAGCACUUUGGGAGGCUGAGAUAGAGGAUCACUUGAGGCCAGGAGUCCAAGACCAGCCUGGGGAACAUAACGAGACCUUGCCUCUAAAAAAAAAAUUUUAAAAAUUAGCCUGGUGUAGUGGGCAUGCCUAUAGUCUUAGCUACUAGGGAGGCUGAGGUAGGAGGAUCACUUGAGCCCAGGAGUUCAAAGUUAUAGUGAGCUAAGAGUGCAUCACAGCACUCCAGCCCGGGCAACAGAGCAAGACCCUGAUUCUAAACACACCUAUACACACACACACACACACCCCACCACCAACAACAAUGAAAAACCCUGAAUUUACAUCCUUCACGAUAAAGUGAUAGCUUCUGUGACAUUUGCACAGAAUUCUGAGUAAAGUUGCCUUUUCAGUCACAUCUGUUAAUGUUGACAAGACAUAAUCUAAAAAUCAAGAGGAUGAGAAUAGAAGGACCACUUCCCUUCUAGUGACCUCCUGGACCACACCAAGCACCAACAUCAUGAGGAUCCAAGGAAUCUCUGGAAAGUUCUAUCUCCAGAAGAUACCCUGAGAACACUUAGGCCCUCCCAGACCACAUGAAGAACCAACGUCAUAAGGAUCCAAGGCAUCCCUGGAAAGUUCCUUCUCCAGAAGAAGGAUCCAAGGCAUCUCUGGAAAGUUCCAUCUCCAGAAGAUUCCCUGAGAACACUUAGGCCCUCCCAGACCACACCAAGCACCAACAUCAUGAGGAUCCAAGGCGUCCCUGGAAAGUUCCCUCUCCAGAAGAUUCCCUGAGAAGACUUAGGCAUGAUCUUAAAUAAAUAUUCCUGUUGUUUAAAAGGCCUUAAAUUCCUCAUAUUUAAGCUGUUGGGAGUCCCUUGCAAUUCCAUAUACACUUGAGAAUCUACUUUUAUUUCUUUGAACAGGGCUGUUGGAAUUUUGAUAGGCAUUGUGUUGAAUCUGUAGAUCACUUUGGGUAGUAUUGACAUCUUAACAAUAUUAAGUCUUCCUAUCCAUGAAUAUGGGAUGUCUUUCCAUUUAUUUAGGUGUUCUUUAAUUUCUUUUAGCAAUCUUUUCUAUUUUCAGCAUACGAGUCUUUCACCUCCUUGGUUAGACUUAUUUCUGAGUAUUUAAUUCUUUUAGAUCUUGUUGUAAAUGGCAUUGUUUACUUAAUUUCCUGUUUGAAUUGUUCAAUACUGAUGCACAGAAACAAAUGAAUUUUGCGUGUUGGUCUUGAUGUGUUGAUCUUGUAACUUUGCUGAAUUUGUUUAUGAGCUAUUGUACCUUCUUGUGGGUUCUUUUGGAUUUUCUAUAUGUAGGAUUAUGUCAUCUUCAAAUAGAGAUCGUUUUACCACUUCC